Molecule: ribosomal RNA, 467 nt
Filed under: uncultured bacterium
Lineage: Bacteria
Description: partial 16S ribosomal RNA
Rfam family: Bacterial small subunit ribosomal RNA
Source: RNAcentral
ACGAACGCUGGCGGCGUGCUUAACACAUGCAAGUCGAACGGAAAGGCCCUGCUUUUGUGGGGUGCUCGAGUGGCGAACGGGUGAGUAACACGUGAGUAACCUGCCCUUGACUUUGGGAUAACUUCAGGAAACUGGGGCUAAUACCGGAUAGGAGCUCCUGCUGCAUGGUGGGGGUUGGAAAGUUUCGGCGGUUGGGGAUGGACUCGCGGCUUAUCAGCUUGUUGGUGGGGUAGUGGCUUACCAAGGCUUUGACGGGUAGCCGGCCUGAGAGGGUGACCGGCCACAUUGGGACUGAGAUACGGCCCAGACUCCUACGGGAGGCAGCAGUGGGGAAUAUUGCACAAUGGGCGGAAGCCUGAUGCAGCAACGCCGCGUGCGGGAUGACGGCCUUCGGGUUGUAAACCGCUUUCGCCUGUGACGAAGCGUGAGUGACGGUAAUGGGUAAGGAAGCACCGGCUAACUACGUG